AAACUUACCUGGCUGGGGGGCUCUCGCGAUCAAGAAGGCGGGACCCCCAUGGUGAGGCCCGCGCAUUGCACUAUAGCGCGGGCUGACCUGUGUGGCAGCCUCGAGUUGAGGUUAGCCAACAGCUAAAUUUUUGCGUUUGGGGCUGCGUUCGCGCGGCCCUGAC
Small nuclear RNA from Ancylostoma ceylanicum, 163 nucleotides. It matches the Rfam family "U1 spliceosomal RNA". From Rfam's summary of the family: U1 is a small nuclear RNA (snRNA) component of the spliceosome (involved in pre-mRNA splicing). Its 5' end forms complementary base pairs with the 5' splice junction, thus defining the 5' donor site of an intron. Lineage: Eukaryota; Metazoa; Nematoda; Chromadorea; Rhabditida; Ancylostomatidae. The record is from Rfam.